AAGGAUCAUUACCGAGUGUAGGGUUCCUAGCGAGCCCAACCUCCCACCCGUGUUUACUGUAACCUUAGUUGCUUCGGCGGGCCCGCCUUUAAGGCCGCCGGGGGGCAUCAGCCCCCGGGCCCGCGCCCGCCGGAGACACCACGAACUCUGUCUGAUCUAGUGAAGUCUGAGUUGAUUGUAUCGCAAUCAGUUAAAACUUUCAACAAUGGAUCUCUUGGUUCCGGCAUCGAUGAAGAACGCAGCGAAAUGCGAUAACUAGUGUGAAUUGCAGAAUUCCGUGAAUCAUCGAGUCUUUGAACGCACAUUGCGCCCCCUGGUAUUCCGGGGGGCAUGCCUGUCCGAGCGUCAUUGCUGCCCAUCAAGCACGGCUUGUGUGUUGGGUCGUCGUCCCCUCUUCGGGGGGGACGGGCCCCAAAGGCAGCGGCGGCACCGCGUCCGAUCCUCGAGCGUAUGGGGCUUUGUCACCCGCUCUGUAGGCCCGGCCGGCGCUUGCCGAACGCAAAACAACCAUUCUUUCCAGGUUGACCUCGGAUCAGGUAGGGAUACCCGCUGAACUUAA
RNAcentral lists this ribosomal RNA (559 nucleotides) under Aspergillus tamarii. RNAcentral's name for it is "eukaryotic LSU rRNA". The stretch from base 195 to 348 matches the Rfam family "5.8S ribosomal RNA". Lineage: Eukaryota; Fungi; Ascomycota; Eurotiomycetes; Eurotiales; Aspergillaceae. The record is from RNAcentral.